AGAGUUUGAUCCUGGCUCAGGACGAACGCUGGCGGCGUGCUUAACACAUGCAAGUCGAACGAUGAAGCCCAGCUUGCUGGGCGGAUUAGUGGCGAACGGGUGAGUAAUACGUGAGUAACCUGCCUUUAACUCUGGGAUAAGCCUUGGAAACGGGGUCUAAUACCGGGUACGACCAACCUUCGCAUGAGGUGUUGGUGGAAAGGGAUUUUGUACUGGUUUUAGAUGGGCUCACGGCCUAUCAGCUUGUUGGUGAGGUAACGGCUCACCAAGGCGACGACGGGUAGCCGGCCUGAGAGGGUGACCGGCCACACUGGGACUGAGACACGGCCCAGACUCCUACGGGAGGCAGCAGAGGGGAAUAUUGCACAAUGGGCGCAAGCCUGAUGCAGCGACGCCGCGUGAGGGAUGACGGCCUUCGGGUUGUAAACCUCUUUCAGCAGGGGAGAAGCGAAAGUGACGGUACCUGCAGAAGAAGCGCCGGCUAACUACGUGCCAGCAGCCGCGGUAAUACGUAGGGCGCGAGCGUUGUCCGGAAUUAUUGGGCGUAAAGAGCUCGUAGGCGGUUCGUCGCGUCUGCUGUGAAAGCCCGGGGCUUAACCCCGGGUUUGCAGUGGGUACGGGCAGACUAGAGUGCAGUAGGGGAGACUGGAAUUCCUGGUGUAGCGGUGAAAUGCGCAGAUAUCAGGAGGAACACCAAUGGCGAAGGCAGGUCUCUGGGCUGUAACUGACGCUGAGAAGCGAAAGCAUGGGGAGCGAACAGGAUUAGAUACCCUGGUAGUCC
RNAcentral lists this ribosomal RNA (781 nucleotides) under uncultured bacterium. RNAcentral's name for it is "bacterial SSU rRNA". It matches the Rfam family "Bacterial small subunit ribosomal RNA", at positions 8 to 796 of the family's 1533-position model. The record is from RNAcentral.